Molecule: long non-coding RNA, 666 nt
Filed under: Pan troglodytes (chimpanzee)
Lineage: Eukaryota; Metazoa; Chordata; Mammalia; Primates; Hominidae
Description: lincRNA
Source: RNAcentral
AGGAGGAAAUCCUACAUGUCUGCUCCCGGAGCUGCCACAACCCAUCUUCCCACAACUCGGAACUUGGAAAAAGGAACCCAGGACACGACUUUGCUUUUCUUUUGGACCUAGUUGAUACAAGUUAACAGGAUAUGCUUCUGGCCUGUUUCUGGAUUCUAAGGGUAGAACCAGCAUAAAACUAGUCAGUCCAAGUAUUUCUAAAGAUCCACAGACACAGUUCUCCUGGAUUUGGGAAGCCUAGAGAUAUUAGCACAAUAAUUAAGGCCCAAAGGCAGCACAUAAGAGAGGGAAAGCCAUGCGCGUGGAGUCCAGCACAUCACCCAGAAGGCAGAUGUUCUGUCUCCAUUUUACUCAUGAAAAGAAACAAAACCACACCUGGAUUGCCUGCAACUUUUAAAAGCCUUUCCACUGCACAGUGAAAGAAAACCACAAACUCCUUGUUUAAUAAGUGGGAUCAUGUGCUUUUAACAAGAGGAAAAGGUCAAUCUGAAGCAACUGAUAUGGAACUGCCAGAGUAGGAGUUGAAAAUCUUCCUAAACUGCUGGAGGAUACACCUCUGAUAGCUUGAGACAAAUAUCCUCUUGAUCAUUGUUUCACCAUAUUUGUCUUUGCUCAUGGAGAACCAUUUUGAUCCGUGGUUUAGCCUCCCAGGUGAUUGAACAAUAC